Molecule: ribosomal RNA, 443 nt
Filed under: uncultured bacterium
Lineage: Bacteria
Description: partial 16S ribosomal RNA
Rfam family: Bacterial small subunit ribosomal RNA
Source: RNAcentral
CCUACGGGCGGCAGCAGUGGGGGAUAUUGGACAAUGGGGGGAACCCUGAUCCAGCGACGCCGCGUGAGUGAAGAAGUAUGUCGGUAUGUAAAGCUCUGUCAGCAGGGAAGAAAGAAAUGACGGUACCUGACCAAGAAGCCCCGGCUAACUACGUGCCAGCAGCCGCGGGAAUACGUAGGGGGCAAGCGUUAUCCGGAAUUACUGGGUGUAAAGGGAGCGUAGACGGUUAAGUAAGUCUGGAGUGAAAGGCCGGGGCCCAACCCCGGGACUGCUCUGGAAACUAUUGAACUUGAGUGCAGGAGAGGUAAGCGGAAUUCCUAGUGUAGCGGUGAAAUGCGUAGAUAUUAGGAGGAACACCAGUGGCGAAGGCGGCUUACUGGACUGUAACUGACGUUGAGGCUCGAAAGCGUGGGGAGCAAACAGGAUUAGAUACCCUUGUAGUC